CUGGCCUUGACAUCCAGAGAACUUAGCAGAGAUGCUUUGGUGCCUUCGGGAACUCUGAGACAGGUGCUGCAUGGCUGUCGUCAGCUCGUGUUGUGAAAUGUUGGGUUAAGUCCCGCAACGAGCGCAACCCUUAUCCUUUGUUGCCAGCGGCUCGGCCGGGAACUCAAAGGAGACUGCCGGUGAUAAACCGGAGGAAGGUGGGGGUGACGUCAAGUCAUCAUGGCCCUUACGGCCAGGGCUACACACGUGCUACAAUGGCGCAUACAAAGAGAAGCGACCUCGCGAGAGCAAGCGGACCUCAUAAAGUGCGUCGUAGUCCGGAUUGGAGUCUGCAACUCGACUCCAUGAAGUCGGAAUCGCUAGUAAUCGUAGAUCAGAAUGCUACGGUGAAUACGUUCCC
This 400-nucleotide ribosomal RNA is filed under the name uncultured bacterium. RNAcentral's name for it is "bacterial SSU rRNA". It matches the Rfam family "Bacterial small subunit ribosomal RNA", at positions 975 to 1375 of the family's 1533-position model. The record is from RNAcentral.